GUGCACGGCCACAGCACCCUGAGCGCGCCCGAGCUCGUCUGGUCUCGGAAGCUAAGCAGGGUCAGGCCUGGUUAGUACUUGGAUGAAAGGAGAAGGAACAUGAAAAUGCUUUGUAAA
This 117-nucleotide ribosomal RNA is filed under the name Ochotona princeps (American pika). The record is from RNAcentral. Lineage: Eukaryota; Metazoa; Chordata; Mammalia; Lagomorpha; Ochotonidae.